GGCGGCCAAAUAUUGCUAGUCGAGCGCAUGAGUUUGAGCUUGCUCCAUGAUUCAGCGGCGGACGGGUGAGUAAUGCCUAAGAAUCUGCCUGGUAGUGGGGGACAACGUUUCAAAAGGAACGCUAAUACCGCAUACGUCCUACGGGAGAAAGUGGGGGAUCUUCGGACCUCACGCUAUCAGAUGAGCCUAGGUCGGAUUAGCUAAUUGGUGAGGUAAAGGCUCACCAAGGCGACGAUCCGUAACUGGUCUGAGAGGAUGAUCAGUCACACUGGAACUGAGACACGGUCCAGACUCCUACGGGAGGCAGCAGUGGGGAAUAUUGGACAAUGGGCGAAAGCCUGAUCCAGCCAUGCCGCGUGUGUGAAGAAGGUCUUCGGAUUGUAAAGCACUUUAAGUUGGGAGGAAGGGCAGUAAGUUAAUACCUUGCUGUUUUGACGUUACCAACAGAAUAAGCACCGGCUAACUUCGUGCCAGCAGCCGCGGUAAUACGAAGGGUGCAAGCGUUAAUCGGAAUUACUGGGCGUAAAGCGCGCGUAGGUGGUUCGUUAAGUUGGAUGUGAAAGCCCCGGGCUCAACCUGGCAACUGCAUCCAAAACUGGCGAGCUAGAGUAUGGCAGAGGGUGGUGGAAUUUCCUGUGUAGCGGUGAAAUGCGUAGAUAUAGGAAGGAACACCAGUGGCGAAGGCGACCACCUGGGCUAAUACUGACACUGAGGUGCGAAAGCGUGGGGAGCAAACAGGAUUAGAUACCCUGGUAUUCCACGCCGUACACGAUGUCGACUAGCCGUUGGGGAUCCUUGAGAUCUUAAUGGCGCAGCUAACGCAUUAGUCGACCGCCUGGGGAGUACGGCCGCAGGUUAAAACUCAAAUGAUUUGACGGGUGCCCGCACAAGCGUGGAGCAUGUGGUUUAAUUCAAAGCAUCUCGUAAAACCCUUACCAGGCCUUGACAUGCAAAAACUUUCCAAAGAUGGAUUGGUGCCUUCGGGAACUCUGACACCGGUGCCUGCAUGGCUGUCGCCGCUCGUGUCUUGA
Molecule: ribosomal RNA, 1031 nt
Filed under: uncultured bacterium
Lineage: Bacteria
Description: bacterial SSU rRNA
Rfam family: Bacterial small subunit ribosomal RNA
Source: RNAcentral